AACGAACGCUGGCGGCAUGCCUAACACAUGCAAGUCGAACGAGACCUUCGGGUCUAGUGGCGCACGGGUGCGUAACGCGUGGGAACCUGCCCUUAGGUUCGGAAUAACUCCCCGAAAGGGGUGCUAAUACCGGAUAAUGUCUUCGGACCAAAGAUUUAUCGCUUGUGGAUGGGCCCGCGUCGGAUUAGCUUGUUGGUAGGGUAAAGGCCUACCAAGGCGACGAUCGAUAGCUGGUCUGAGAGGAUGAUCAGGCACACUGGGACUGAGACACGGCCCAGACCCAGACGGGAGGGGGCGGUGGGGGAGAGGGAAAGAGGGGCGGGGGCGAAAGGCAGCAACGCCGAGGGCGGGAUGGUGGCCAACGGGUUGGGGUUGGAAAGCUCUUUUGCCGGGGAGUGAAUGACGGUAACGGGGAAAAAAGCCCCGGCUAACUACGUG
This 438-nucleotide ribosomal RNA is filed under the name uncultured bacterium. RNAcentral's name for it is "partial 16S ribosomal RNA". It matches the Rfam family "Bacterial small subunit ribosomal RNA", at positions 29 to 507 of the family's 1533-position model. The record is from RNAcentral.